UCCUCUUUGCCCUAUCUUCCAUACCCUUUCAAUAUCCUCUUCUCAGAUUAACCAAAAAAAUGGGAAAAAAAACCGUCUAUCUUCUCCAGUCGCCAUUCUCUGUCUAACUAGAGCUUCCAGUCGUCACAACCCCAACAGCACUAGCGUGGCAAGAGGCUCACAGACUGUCUGUAGCAGUGGCGGCGGCGACUUUUCACGGGUUCUCCCUCCGGCAUCCAGGUUUUGAUCUCAAUUGAAAGCGGGAAACAAGUGGUUGUUCUGGAUCUUUUGGAUUUUCCCAUGAAGUGUAAUGUGGAUAUAACCUCAUAAAGCACCAACCCCAAUCUCUGCAAGUAUACAUUUUAAUUAGACAAAGCCUCAUGGUAGCUAAAGUGGUUGUUCUGGAUCUUUUGGAUUUUCCCAUGAAGUGUAAUGUGGAUAUAACCUCAUAAAGCACCAACCCCAAUCUCUGCAAGUAUACAUUUUAAUUAGACAAAGCCUCAUGGUAGCUAAAGCUUCACAUAUUUUUCUGUAAUAUAAGCAUUUUAAUACUUAACAAAAAUCAAAACUCUGAAACAUGUAACAAACACUGUUAAA
This is a non-coding RNA of Camellia sinensis, 576 nucleotides long. NCBI's taxonomy places the organism in Eukaryota, Viridiplantae, Streptophyta, Magnoliopsida, Ericales, Theaceae. The record is from RefSeq and is a predicted model, not a curated record.